CAUGGUGGAUGGUGCGUAUCUCGGCAUCCGGUCCGCCCCCACCGGCAGCUGCAGUGUUUUCCUUGUUGUGAAGCUCAGAUGAACAAUGGAAAGGAGAGGAAGGACCAACAACAUCAUAAAUUUCAGUAUUGGACCACAUGCUGGUUGCUUGGGCGUACUACAAAAAAAAGAUGACAGACCUGGAGCGUGAUGAGUACAAUAGAACAUAUACAACACAGCUCCAAGAAGGCUACUACCUACCAAUCUAGAUGUUGGUACUCAUGUUGACGUUCAACCACAGUUAUUGAAUCAAGAGCAUGACUGUUUUUUAGAUUUUCACUUAAAAUUUGAGUAUGGUUUACCUGAAUUUUGUCAAGUAUAAGGCAUAUUGGUUGCAACGCACCAGUAAGCCACAUGUAAUAUAUAUCUUCUGAAUUAUAAAGUCAUUUUCAUUAUCGUCAUUGUUCUA
Lolium perenne is the source of this 448-nucleotide long non-coding RNA. RefSeq lists it as uncharacterized. The record is from RefSeq and is a predicted model, not a curated record. NCBI's taxonomy places the organism in Eukaryota, Viridiplantae, Streptophyta, Magnoliopsida, Poales, Poaceae.